RNAcentral lists this ribosomal RNA (253 nucleotides) under uncultured bacterium. RNAcentral's name for it is "partial 16S ribosomal RNA". It matches the Rfam family "Bacterial small subunit ribosomal RNA", at positions 524 to 776 of the family's 1533-position model. The record is from RNAcentral.
UGCGUAGGUGGCAAGCGUUAUCCGGAAUUACUGGGCGUAAAGCGUGCGCAGGCGGUUGUGCAAGACCGAUGUGAAAUCCCCGGGCUUAACCUGGGAAUGGCAUUGGUGACUGCACGGCUAGAGUGUGUCAGAGGGGGGUAGAAUUCCACGUGUAGCAGUGAAAUGCGUAGAGAUGUGGAGGAAUACCGAUGGCGAAGGCAGCCCCCUGGGAUAACACUGACGCUCAUGCACGAAAGCGUGGGGAGCAAACAGG